This 143-nucleotide ribosomal RNA is filed under the name Amborella trichopoda. RNAcentral's name for it is "rRNA LSU_rRNA_eukarya". It matches the Rfam family "Bacterial large subunit ribosomal RNA", at positions 2664 to 2804 of the family's 2925-position model. The record is from RNAcentral. Lineage: Eukaryota; Viridiplantae; Streptophyta; Magnoliopsida; Amborellales; Amborellaceae.
GAGAGAAUCAUUCUCUUGUACGAGAGGACUGAGAAUGGUGAACCUAUAGUGUACCAAUUGUCGCGCCAGUGGCACAGUUGGGUAGCCACGUUCAAAACUAAGAACCGUUGAAGGCCUAUCAAGUGGGAAAUGGAGUCUCAAAA